RNAcentral lists this ribosomal RNA (1448 nucleotides) under uncultured organism. RNAcentral's name for it is "16S ribosomal RNA". It matches the Rfam family "Bacterial small subunit ribosomal RNA". The record is from RNAcentral.
CAGGCUUAACACAUGCAAGUCGAGGGGCAUCAGGAAGAAAGCUUGCUUUCUUUGCUGGCGACCGGCGCACGGGUGAGUAACACGUAUCCAACCUGCCCUUUACUCGGGGAUAGCCUUUCGAAAGAAAGAUUAAUACCCGAUAGCAUAAUGAUUCCGCAUGGUUUCAUUAUUAAAGGAUUCCGGUAAAGGAUGGGGAUGCGUUCCAUUAGGUUGUUGGUGAGGUAACGGCCCACCAAGCCUUCGAUGGAUAGGGGUUCUGAGAGGAAGGUCCCCCACAUUGGAACUGAGACACGGUCCAAACUCCUACGGGAGGCAGCAGUGAGGAAUAUUGGUCAAUGGGCGCUAGCCUGAACCAGCCAAGUAGCGUGAAGGAUGAAGGCUCUAUGGGUCGUAAACUUCUUUUAUAUAAGAAUAAAGUGCAGUAUGUAUACUGUUUUGUAUGUAUUAUAUGAAUAAGGAUCGGCUAACUCCGUGCCAGCAGCCGCGGUAAUACGGAGGAUCCGAGCGUUAUCCGGAUUUAUUGGGUUUAAAGGGAGCGUAGGUGGACUGGUAAGUCAGUUGUGAAAGUUUGCGGCUCAACCGUAAAAUUGCAGUUGAUACUGUCAGUCUUGAGUACAGUAGAGGUGGGCGGAAUUCGUGGUGUAGCGGUGAAAUGCUUAGAUAUCACGAAGAACUCCGAUUGCGAAGGCAGCUCACUGGACUGCAACUGACACUGAUGCUCGAAAGUGUGGGUAUCAAACAGGAUUAGAUACCCUGGUAGUCCACACAGUAAACGAUGAAUACUCGCUGUUUGCGAUAUACAGUAAGCGGCCAAGCGAAAGCAUUAAGUAUUCCACCUGGGGAGUACGCCGGCAACGGUGAAACUCAAAGGAAUUGACGGGGGCCCGCACAAGCGGAGGAACAUGUGGUUUAAUUCGAUGAUACGCGAGGAACCUUACCCGGGCUUAAAUUGCAGUGGAAUGAUGUGGAAACAUGUCAGUGAGCAAUCACCGCUGUGAAGGUGCUGCAUGGUUGUCGUCAGCUCGUGCCGUGAGGUGUCGGCUUAAGUGCCAUAACGAGCGCAACCCUUAUCUUUAGUUACUAACAGGUUAUGCUGAGGACUCUAGAGAGACUGCCGUCGUAAGAUGUGAGGAAGGUGGGGAUGACGUCAAAUCAGCACGGCCCUUACGUCCGGGGCUACACACGUGUUACAAUGGGGGGGUACAGAAGGCAGCUAGCGGGUGACCGUAUGCUAAUCCCAAAAUCCUCUCUCAGUUCGGAUCGAAGUCUGCAACCCGACUUCGUGAAGCUGGAUUCGCUAGUAAUCGCGCAUCAGCCACGGCGCGGUGAAUACGUUCCCGGGCCUUGUACACACCGCCCGUCAAGCCAUGGGAGCCGGGGGUACCUGAAGUACGUAACCGCAAGGAUCGUCCUAGGGUAAAACUGGUGACUGGGGCUAAGUCAUAACA